This 253-nucleotide ribosomal RNA is filed under the name uncultured bacterium. RNAcentral's name for it is "partial 16S ribosomal RNA". It matches the Rfam family "Bacterial small subunit ribosomal RNA", at positions 524 to 776 of the family's 1533-position model. The record is from RNAcentral.
UACGUAGGGGGCUAGCGUUGUCCGGAUUUAUUGGGCGUAAAGAGCGUGUAGGCGGCCAGGUAGGUCUGGUGUGAAAACUCGAGGCUUAACCUCGAGAUGUCAUCGGAAACCAUCUGGCUAGAGUCCGGAAGAGGAGAGUGGAAUUCCUGGUGUAGCGGUGAAAUGCGCAGAUAUCAGGAGGAACACCUAUGGCGAAGGCAGCUCGCUGGGACGUUACUGACGCUGAGACGCGAAAGCGUGGGGAGCAAACAGG